This 476-nucleotide ribosomal RNA is filed under the name uncultured Sphingobacteriales bacterium. RNAcentral describes it as "bacterial SSU rRNA". It matches the Rfam family "Bacterial small subunit ribosomal RNA", at positions 906 to 1382 of the family's 1533-position model. The record is from RNAcentral. Lineage: Bacteria; Pseudomonadati; Bacteroidota; Sphingobacteriia; Sphingobacteriales.
GGAAUUGACGGGGGCCCGCACAAGCGGAGGAGCAUGUGGUUUAAUUCGAUGAUACGCAGGAACCUUACCUGGGCUCGAACGUAAGAUGACUGUAGGUGAAAAGCUUUACAUCUCUUCGGAGCAUUUUACGAGGUGCUGCAUGGUUGUCGUCAGCUCGUGCCGUGAGGUGUCGGGUUAAGUCCCAUAACGAGCGCAACCCUACCUUUAGUUGCCAUCAGGUAAUGCUGGGGACUCUAAAGGAACUGCCUACGCAAGUAGUGAGGAAGGCGGGGAUGACGUCAAAUCAGCACGGCCCUUACGUCCAGGGCUACACACGUGCUACAAUGGCCGAUACAGAGGGCAGCUACCUGGUGACAGGAUGCAAAUCUCCAAAGUCGGUCUCAGUUCGGAUCGGAGUCUGCAACCCGACUCCGUGAAGUUGGAUUCGCUAGUAAUCGCGCAUCAGCCAUGGCGCGGUGAAUACGUUCCCGGGCCUU